CUCAGGUCUUUGGAUCCAUCUCCCGAGGCCAUCCCUCUUUUCAGUCAAUCUCCAGUCGUCCCAGCUUACCUUCAUGUUGAUGAAUAAAUCACAGCAUACCAGAUAGAGUUGACCUGUUUCCAGUAGAGGAUAAUGGAACGGCUGUGGUUGUCUUUGCUGUUGCUGGCGGCAGCAUGCAGGGGACAGCCGUGUCCGAAACGCUGCAUGUGCCAGAGCCUUUCCCCAUCGCUCGCUAUCCUCUGCUCCAAGACGGGCUUGCUGUUUGUCCCCGCAGCCAUUGACAGACGCACCGUGGAGCUACGGCUUCAAGAGAACUUCAUCACGGCUGUCCGAAGAAAGGACUUUGCCAACAUGACCAGCCUGCUGCACCUGACCCUGUCCAGAAACACCAUCAGUCAGAUCCUCCCUUCAGCUUUCAGUGACCUGCGGAGACUGAGAGCUCUCCACUUAGACUCAAACAGAUUAACUGUGAUCAAGGAUGACCAUUUCAAAGGCCUGACCAACCUUCGUCACCUAAUCCUGGCCAACAACCAGCUCCACUCCAUAUCUCCCCAUGCCUUUGAUGACUUCCUGUCCACACUGGAGGAUCUAGACCUCAGCUACAACAACCUUGCCCAGGCGCCCUGGGACACGAUCGGGCGCCUGACCAAUGUCAAUACCCUCAAUAUGGAUCACAACCUCAUAGAAAACGUUCCCCAAGGGGUAUUUACCAACCUACACAAACUGGCCAGGCUAGACAUGACAUCCAACAAGUUGAAGAAAAUCCCCCCUGACCCAUUGUUCCUGAGAAUCCCAGUCUAUGCCAAGUCCAAAGGCUCCCCUCUCUCCUCCCUGGUGUUGAGUUUUGGCGGUAACCCCCUUCACUGUAACUGUGAACUCCUGUGGUUGAGGAGACUAACCAGGGAAGAUGACCUUGAGACCUGCGCCUCUCCUGCGGACCUCAGUGCCAAAUAUUUCUGGACAAUACCUGAAGAGGAGUUUAUAUGUGACCCACCAGUUCUGACCCGUAAGUCACCUCAUACUGUGACAAUGGAAGGCCAACCUGCCAGCCUGAAGUGUAAAGCAAAUGGCGACCCAGAGCCUGAGGUCCACUGGAUCAGCCCUGAAGGUCGACUUAUAUCUAAUGGCUCCAGAACUCUGGUUUUCCCAAAUGGAAGCCUGGAGAUUAAUGUAACAUCCCUGAAGGAUUCAGGAAACUUUACCUGCAUCGCCUCCAACGCAGCAGGCGAAUCCACGGGAAGGGUGGAGCUGGUUGUCACGGCGAUGCCCCAUCUCGCAAACAGCACAAGCCGCAGCCGAGACCCAUCCUCUGAACCUGCCCCCUCUGAUAUCCUAACGUCCUCCAAGGUUGCGCAGCCUAACAACGAGACAAGGGGGGCAGACCGCAGGGUCUCGUUGGUGGAACUGACGGGAAACUCUGCCCUCAUUAGAUGGAGCAGUCAGACUCCGACAUCUGGAGUCAGGAUGUUCCAGGUCCAGUACAACAGCUCCGGGGAUGACGCACUGGUUUACAGGAUGAUCCCAUCCAGCAGCAACGACUUCCUGGUUCGGGACCUCGCCGCUGGACGCAGUUACGAUCUUUGUGUCCUGGCCGUGUUUGAUGACGUCAUUACAUCACUGACUGCAACGCGACCUCUGGGCUGUCUGUCGUUUACCACAGACACCGAGUUCAGCCAGUGUCAAGCACUGCACAGCCACUUCCUGGGUGGCACUAUGAUCAUCAUCAUUGGAGGGAUUAUUGUUGCUUCUGUUCUGGUCUUCAUCAUCAUCUUAAUGAUACGAUACAAGGUUUACAGCCACCAAGGUGCAGUCCACGGAAAAGUAGCCAUUGCGGCAACCCCUCCAAGACCGCAGAGUAAUGGACAAGGAGGAGGUGGACAAGUCCAUGUCCUCCCUCACUCUGCUUCAAAAAUGACUGAGAGUCUGGACGACCAAGCACUAGCAUCGUCCAGAGCCAUGUCGCCUAGCAACACUCUGAGAGACACUGUUGCGCUGGUUGAGGAGGUGAGCAGUGGACGGUGCAUAAUGACAAGGACUGACUCCAUGGCCAAUGAGGAGUUGCUCUCGCCCACAAAGUCCCGCUUCUCCUCCAGGGUUGCCAUUGAGAUGAAAAGCAGACCGCCAUCUGUCACCAAAGAGCCCACCUCACCCAAGGAUCCGGCAGAGCCCUGAUGAUGAUGUUGUUCUGGGUGGCAGAUGUGGAGAAUGAACGUCACCACCAGUGAAAACUCUAAAGAAUAACAAUAAUUAAUUUUAAAAAAUGAAGAAAAAAAGCCCUAUAGCUCCUCUCCCUGUAUCUCCCAUUUGCUCUACCCAUUAAUUUUUGUCCAUGAAUAUUAUGGGGUUAUAGACCUGUACUGUCUGGUUUACUUUAAACUGCUUGUCUUGGUUCUCGUGUCUGGAUUGGACGACGGACUGUGUCAAGGCCCCGUGUCUCCAUGGCUACUGAUCGGCCAGUUGCUGCAGGAUUUAGCUGUCGGUGUGGUCAACUUAAUAUCUUUAAAUGGAGCGUCACUCGUCAGGGGCCAAAUAUUCUACUUCGAAUCAUGUGGAUGAGCGUGUCAAUGGAUGCAGUGGACAUGCAUAGCACAGAGAGGCCCAUGGGUACGUCUGAAAAAACAAAUGGACAAGAAAAUAUGAACUCCUUCUUCAGCAUCGACGUGCACGGACAGAUUCUGAGUGGAUGGUGAAAACAGAAAAUGAUGCAUAGAUAAUCACGCGCAACCUGGAUAUGCAUAAUGACGGACUGCACGGACAGAAAGGGAAUAAAUUCAAGCAGAACAAUGUCUGGAUGGGUGUGGUUUUGGAUAUGAACAUAAUAUUAAAUACUGGCUCACUGGCGAGGCCGGCUCUCCGCGGCGCCGCCAAGCAGUUCUGCUGAAACUGAAGUGAGCCGAGCUGAACCUAGCUGGCCUCAACUGGAGCCGGAUCUUAACCUUGACUGGAUCCUUUUUGUCUCUCACUCAGAACGUCUCUGGGAAGCACAUAGACUGUACGAAAUGAGGAGACGUGAACUGAAAAAUGGUUUUACCUGGACACAGCUGGGGGGGGGGGGGAAACCUGGACCCAGUGGAGCCUGGAGUUAAACACUGAUAAAUGCAGACUAUACUGGACUAGACCAGUGACCUGUUGGUCGAGCCUGCGCUCUCCUCUGCUCUGGUCCCGUAUCUACAGUUUCCCACUGUGAUGUGACCAGGGAGGACCGCGACGACCUCUACCACCCGCUCCCCCGUCUCUCCAGAUACACUUACACAGACCAGUGACGAGGAGGAAGCCCACAAGUCUGAGGUCAAGAAAAACUAAACGGACUGAUGAGGGAGAAACGAUAAAGUAGUGGGCUCACCGGUUAAACCCAAUCACGUCAACCAUCACUGAUUUCAUCCAACAAUUUUAUCGGGAACAUCUUCACCGUCAUCAUCAUCAGUACUCUCAUCAUGACGUUAACAGCUACAGAGUUCUACAUUCAAAGUCAGAAGAGUUUAUUGUGAAGAAGAAGAAAAAAUGACUGUAUAUGGCUGCACCACCUUCAUUGAAAACAUCGAGGCGGUAGUCAUCCAGUCCCUAAGCACAUGUUUAUCAUCACCACAGAGUGCGUAUCUGUGCUCACAGGUCAUUUAACAGUGAUUUAAAGGGGACCUAUAAUGCUUUUCUUUAUUUCGGUUAUAUACAAUGUCCGAUAUACAUAAGGGCACGGUCACACAUCCAUGAGGCAAACCUUCGCCUCUCGUUCACUUCCAUUACGCUAGCGAGGGGGGCACAUCAAAUUUUUGCUUCCUGCAGUGUGGCUUCGCGCGGAGUUUGGUGAACUUUGACCCGGCGACGUCACAGCCUCAACCGGUAGCAACGAAGUCCGCCUGGUCCACUUGGCUGUCACGAGCUGUUCGUAGCCAAGAUGGGGGAGACCAUCACACGUCUCUACUUCCACAACGAACUGAUGACAACUCGUCACGUCGUCCACUCCAAGCACAGCUUGUACACUAAAACAGUCUACUCGAGUAAUAUUAUAAGCAUCUAAUGUUCUCCAGCAUACAAAUCACAGACACUGCGGGUUUACUACACAACCACAGCAGAAUAACAUUUAAAAAAACCCUGGCCGCAGACAUUUCUCAUUUCCCCAGCCAUAUUUACAGUUUGUGGUUGAACGAAUAAAUGCACCUUAAAGGGGCAACAAGCAAUUUUGGAGAAAAAAAAAAAUGUAGAUGUUGAUUUUUUUGACUGCACUGGUCGGGGCACGAACCCGCGGCCUCGGGUAUGAAAGACUGACGUGCUAACCGCGAUGCCAAAACCCCUGAGUAUCUGGGCAUCUAGCAUCUGUUGCUAGCACACCUCUUAAGGUGUUGACUGUACAUACAGUGUUGUGAGGUGCAUUCCACAAGAUUUAUUCCUUUUUUAAUAUAAUAUACAUAUAUAUAAUUUUUUUCGGGCGCACACAGAACUGACAGCUAGCAGACUGUGAGGAAAUAUUCGCUGAAUUUGACAAAAAAGUGCAUUGGAUUAGAAUCGCUUACGGCCCCUUUAAUUUCACAUAAUAAACAAGUCAUCGGCGUGCUAUUUACUGAACAAAGUUGUCCUGUUGUAACCUUUGCCGCUAUGGAUGUUCCUGCUUUCCCCUCAACAUGUUUGGGAGGGUUUGAGAAGAUUCACAAUUGUGUUGUGUUACUUAGUUUUAGUUCCUAGUUUCUUAGUGGGUACAGUUUGUCGUCAGUACCCCCACACCGGUAAGAGGAUGACGUUGUGCUCCGGGCUUCUGGAUGUUCAGCCAGUCAGAGGCCUCUUAAGGGGACCUGGGCUGAUGUUGCAAACAAAGAGCUGCGUGAAGGGCAGUUUGAGAUAAAUAAGAAUAUGUUUUGAUCUGUGAAACAACACCAAUGGAAUAAAAAUAUAUAGCCCGCAAUGAGCAUAAUAGGUCCCCUUCAAUGUUCUGUUUUGAAUGAGUUACAUGUUCAUGUGAGUCACACGGAAAUCUGUUUAUGCAUCAUAUUGCUUUCAUUACUAUUGUGCUUUCACUGAGGUUUUUAUGCUGGUUAUUGCAAACGGGACAUAUGGGCCACAGGUGCCAUCUCAGAUCUGAGCCAUCCAUAUGCGUUUGCACAUAACCGCAUUCACCGUUGGUACGCUGCAACAUCAAAAUCAUUAUGAUCAUGAUGCAGUUCCCUGCAGAGAUGUGAGUCGGUAGAAGAGAAAAUAGACAGAGAGCCUGAAACCUUUUGACCCAUCACAGUAGAAACACGAACCCGCCCCCCAAAAAAUAAAGAAAAAUAACACCCUGCUUAGUCUUCACUUUUCCCCUCCUGUGUUCUCCGCACUUUUUUUUUUUCCUUUGGGCUUUAUCUUUUGUAUUUGUACAUAGAGCAAUUUCAAAUCUUAUAGUUUUGUACAUGUAAUUUUUAUGGUGUGUGGAUAUUUUCUAAUAAAAUAAAACAAGAAAAAAUGGA
This is an RNA transcript of Scophthalmus maximus (turbot), 5435 nucleotides long. It is a transcript of the gene named leucine-rich repeat and fibronectin type III domain-containing protein 1-like protein, with no coding region annotated. The transcript is spliced from 10 exons. The record is from RefSeq and is a predicted model, not a curated record. Lineage: Eukaryota; Metazoa; Chordata; Actinopteri; Pleuronectiformes; Scophthalmidae.